Rosa rugosa (rugosa rose) is the source of this 5485-nucleotide RNA transcript. It is a transcript of the gene named RNA polymerase II C-terminal domain phosphatase-like 4, with no coding region annotated. Lineage: Eukaryota; Viridiplantae; Streptophyta; Magnoliopsida; Rosales; Rosaceae. The transcript has 7 exons. The record is from RefSeq and is a predicted model, not a curated record.
CUCUCUCUCUCUCUCUCCUAAAAGCAUUCCCCUCUCCCUUUCUGUCUCGAUCUCAAUUCUAGGGUUUCUUUUGCCCGCAGGAGCGACUCGCCGGAGAUGGCGACUCUGUCUCAACCGACGUUGUUUCAGGAGAAGGAAAAUCUUGAUCUCAACGAAAGCUCCACUUGGUUCUUGAUCUUGAUCACACACUCCUCCACACCACUCAACUCUGUAAUCUGACACCUGAAGAAGACUAUCUCAAGAUCGGAACCCAUCCUCAUCGAGAUGUUUUCGUGCUUGAAACUGUGAUCACCAAGCUCAGGCCCUUUGUCUGGAGAUUCUUGGAUGAAGCCAGCAAGAUGUUUGAGCUGUACAUAUACACAAAGGGUAACCGGUACUAUGCGGGUCUAAUGGCUGCCCUGCUUGAUCCUAGGAAGGAGUAUUUCACUUCCAGUUCUAGAGUCAUAUCCUGCGAGGAUCACGGAAUCGUGGGGCGAUAUAAGAGUCUGGAUGCUGUGGUUGGCUGCAAUUAUUCUAAUGUUUUGAUCCUUGAUGAUACGGAAGAGGCAUGGACAAAGGAAAGCCGGGACAAUCUAAUCAUUGCCGAGAAGUACUGUUUCUUUAGGCACAAAAUGGGCCUACCUAAAUGCAAGUCUUAUGCUGAGUUAAAGACUGAUGAAUGUGGAUAUCUUGCAGCACUUCUUGAAGUGCUUAAGGUAAUCAACCGUAUCUUCUGUGAUGAACUAGCCAGAAAUCCUUCUGGUGUAGAUGUGAUGGAGGUGUUACAACUGUUUGGAAACAAUUGUUGAAGGUUGUUAGGCAUCCUGGAAACAGUUUCUUGACCAAAUCAAGCCGGUGAUCUGCCUAAGAUGGCGCAUUGUGCAGUUUGUAAUGUGUUAGGCAUCUUGGAAGAACUUGAGACUGCUUGAAAAGAGGAAAAGAAUAUCCCAUUCCAUUCUCUGCUAAAUACCACUUCAUUCGUUGAGGAUCAAUGCAAACUGACCGUGGCUUUAACUUUUCCGGCCAGAAUAAUUCGUCAAGAGCUUCAAGGCCUUUCCUUUCUUGGAGGAUUAUCCAACAUCUACACAGGGAGCGGUUUUACUAGUGCGUUUAUUUAGGGGAGAAAGUACUGCUAGUACUAUUGCUAUCGGUGCUUUUAGAGAAUGACAGCUACUCAAAAAGUUGAUGUUCCUCUGCUGUUGACCGUGCUCGCAAGGCUCUUACCUCCUUCACAAAUGGCCAUUCUUGUCAAAUUGCUUAACGAUUACAGGGCAAAGAAAAGUAGCCAACAAAAGCUGAAUGCAAUAGUGAUACUUGUCGUUGCUGAAAAGGUUUUGCCUUCAGAAACAAGUUGAUGUCAUCAACUAAUCAUACUGCUAGUGAUUGAAGCUUUCAAAUUCCUCAGGACAAGACAGUUAUGUUACUGCUCUGAUGGUUACCAAAAGCCUCGACGAUUUCAAAGAAACUAAGAUAUCCCCACCCCAGCUGGUCUGAAGGUGAGACUGAUAGUUGGUUCGAUUGUGCAAAGUCAUUUGAUUUCAGUAAUCAAAUCUUUGUGAAGAAAGCAGAAGCAAGACCAAGCCACGGGUUUGACGAACUUGCAGUGGGUGCAAACUCAGUUGAUUGUGACUUUAAUCGGAUUGUUGCAAAGGUUUCUUGUAGUGAUUCAAGCAACUCUUCCAAGUGAAGCAUUCAGUCGACAUGCUUAGGAUGAUUUCUGAACAUACUUGAGCAGGCAGAAGGUUUUAGCGAAACUUCUUUUCUGAAUUUAAUAUUGCCUAGCUUAUUAUGUUUUUCAUUACUUUCUAGUGUAGUUCAUUUUGUGGUAGCUUCUGUCUAGCACAUUGUGUCCUACUACUCAGCUAAUUUGAAAAUUAGCUUAUGUAUAGCGUGUGCAUGUUGUCCUAGCACUCGGCUAGCUCUGAUAAAAUUGCAUCAACCUCAGUGAACUCUCUAUUGUCAUUUGUUUUGGAUACAUGGGUAUGGACACUUGUUUCACUGGUGUGUCAAUAUAUUCAAGGUUGGUCGUCUAGCUGAGGCCGCAGAGUUGAUUCAUCUAGCCGAUGUGUCAGUAUGUCUAAUUUCGAUCAUUUGCUGGAUCAUGGGGUCAAAAACAACUGUCAUCUUUUCGUUUGGAUUAUGUGGGUAUUGAGACAUGUUUCACUGAUGUGUAACUAUAUUCAAGGUUGUUGAUUUAGCAAUUGAGGCCGCAAAAAGUUGAUUGAUCUAGCAGAUGUGCUAAUAUAUCAUGAUGUUAAAAGCAACUGCCCAAAGAGAUUCCAGCAGCCAUAUCUCAUACCUUGUGACAGUUAGAGAUCAGUUGACAUGGUCAGGAUUAUGUUUGAGCAAAUUCUUGCCACUGGUAAAGUACGACCACUGAUAUUGAGUUUAAGAUGUCUAAGGGAGAUUUUGAAGCAACAAGAAAAGACACUACUGAAAUUGAGCGUACAAUGUCAAAUUCCAUCGAAGAUUUUGAAGCAGUUGAAGCAACAUGACAAGCUGCCUGUUGGACUUGUCAGUUACUUGCUGAAACGUCUACUCAGUGGAAGCAUGAUGUGUUUUCAAGUUUCAGAGGUGUAGACACCCGUAGGGGUUUUUUUAUCCCAUUUGUACCAUGAAUUGGAAAACACGAGAGUAAUUAAAACAUUGAAGGAUGACAUACAGCUUGUAAAUGGGGAGGAUAUUUCUCUCAGUCUGCUAACUGCAAUUGAAGAAUCAAGGGAAGUGCAGGAUACAAUUUUACCGAUUAUGUGGAUCCCUCUGAUGUUCGACAUGAAAACAAGAGUUUUGAAUAAGCUUUAACUAAGCAUGAAUCAUUGGGGGAAGACGAACAGAAGGUGAAGCAGUGGAGAGUUGCUUUGAAAGAAGUAGCCGGUCUCUCUGGGUGGGAUUCAAGGAAUUAUAAGCAAGCAUGAUAAACUAUCUCAACAAGAGUUGUACUUUUGUAUUUAUUAUUUGACUAAUUAACUCAUGACCCACUUCAUUGUAGGACUGAAAUUGAACUUGUUGAAUACAUGGUGGAGUUUGUGUGCAACAAAGUACUUGAAGUACCCAUGGGAGGUCACAGAAUUUGAAGAAACAAGACGAGCCAUGGUUGAAGUCAAUAAAAUACUGGAGGAUGAUAACAUCACUGUGAUUGGGGUGCACGGAAGAGGAGGCGUUGGCAAGACAACCAUGGUGAAACAUGUCGGUGUACAAGCUGAAAAGGAUGGGCUUUUUGCUUAUGUGAUUAUGGUUGUUGUAUCCCAAAGCCCUGAUUUGCACAAAAUUCAAAGCACAUUGGCAGAUCUGCUGGGAUUGAAAUGGUGGAGAAGACAGAAUUUGGAAGAGACAGAAGAUUAAAGAGAGGAUCAUGAUUGAAAAUGGGAUCCUUAUAAUCUUGGAUGACAUUUGGGGAUAAUAGAUCUGUCAAGCAUUGAAAUUCCUGGUCAGAGUGAGCUUCGGUGAUGCAAUUCAGAAGUCCUACUCACCAAGGAUAAUGAAUGUCUGCCAUGCUAUGUGGUGCCAAGCACUGAUCCCUCUCACACCAAGCACUGAUCCCUCUCAACAGUCUACCAGAGGAAGAUUCUUGGAAUUUAUUCCUGAACAAUUCAGGGAAGUCUUUUCAUGAAUCUACCAAUUCCUAUGAUGAAGCGAGGGAGGUAGCUAGAGAAUGCGCUGGUCUCCCAAAGGCACUGAAAGAAGCUGCAAGGGUACUUGGACAUAGAUAGGCUGAUGAAUGGAAGGAAGAAGUUGCAAAGACAUUGGGAGACAUUUAAAAUUGUGCCAUGUGGCAAAACUAGAAAUUUGGAUCAAGUCCACAUGAAAACCAUUGGCUGCAAUUAUUCUAAUGUUUUGAUCCUUGAUGAUACAGAAGAGGCAUGGACAAAGGAAAGCCGGGACAAUCUAAUCGUUGUCGAGAAGACAAAAUGGGCCUAGCUAAAUGGAAGUCUUAUGCUGAGUUAAAGACUGAUGAAUGUGGAUAUCUUGCAGCACUUCUUGAAGUGCUUAAGGUAAUCAGCCGUAUCUUCUGUGAUGAACUAGCCAGAAAUCCUUCUGGUGUAGAUGUGAGGGAUGUGUAAGAACUGUUCGGAAACAAUUGUUGAAGGUUGUUAGGCAUCCUGGAAACAGUUUCUUGACCAAAUCAAGCCGGUGAUCUGCCUAAGAUGGCGGACUGUGCAUUUUUUGUAAUGUGUUAGGCCUCUUGGAAGAAGUUGAGACUGCUUGAAAAGAGGAAAAGAAUAUCCCAUUCCAUUUUCUGCAAAAUACCACUUCAUUCGUUGAGGAUCAAUGCAAACUGACCGUGGCUUUAACUUUUCUGGCCAGAAUAAUUUGUCAAGAGGUUAGUGACCAUAUAUGGUUUUGUUCUGUUGCUAUCUAAUCACAAACUAUGUUUCGUGCACAUCAUUUCGUAAUGUUCAUUUGAUAUGUUCUGUAAAGUUCAUUUAGGAAAUAAUUGGUAAUAGGUUUACUGGUAAGAUUUACUUGUUUUGACAACUACCUCUUGGUUGAAAAUUUAGCUUUUGAUACAACUAGCAUUUUUACCAUAUAGAGAAAAAAAAUCAUUAAAAAAAAAAAUCAAUACCUCCCAAGACAUGCUGUUCAAGUAUGGUUUAAGGAGGAAAAGCAUGUGCAGCCAAGGACAAAAUUAUUCUGAAGGGUUCUAAUAUUAUAUGUUGCUUUCAUGAACUCCCACGUUUUUCCUACUUAUGCUGUAAGCUUCAAGGCCUUUCCUUUCUUGAAGGAUUAUCCAACAUCUACACAGGUAGCGCUUUUACUAGUGCGUUUAUUUAGGGGAGAACUGUACUAUUGCUAUCGGUGCUUUUAGAGAAUGACAGCUACUCAAAAAGUUGAUGUUCCUCUGCUGUUGACCGUGCUCACAAGGCUCUUACCUCCUUCACAAAUGGCCAUUCUUGUCAAAUUGCUUAACGAUUACAGGGCAAAGAAAAGUAGCCAACAAAAGCUGAAUGCAAUAGUGAUACUCGUCGUUGCUGAAAAGGUUUUUCCUUCAGAAACAAAUUGAUGUCAUCAUCUACUCAUACUGGUAGUGAUUGAAGCUUUCAAAUUCCUCAGGACGAGACAGUUAUGUCACUGCUCUGAUGCUUACCAAAAGCCUCGACAAUUUCAAGGAAAAUAAGAUAUCCCCACCCCAGCUGGUCUGAAGGUGAGACUGAUAGUUGGUUCGAUUGUGCAAAGUCAUUUGAUUUCAGUAAUCAAAUCUUUGUGAAGAAAGCAGAAGCAAGACCAAGCCACGGGGUGAGGAUUCAAAUUCUUUUGUUCAACACCUUCCCUUUGGAGAUAUAUAGUUAUCGUUUAGUUAGACUCCAAUAGUUUAUUUCCAUGUUAACAAACUGUAAAGACAAUUUUUUUUAGUGCACUUACAUCCCCUGAUGUAAUAUGCGUACAUUGUUUUGCUCGAUAUGCUUUUAGUUGUAAUGCUAUGGUCGUGUGGGAAUAAUAAUAUUUGUGGGUUCAAUGUUUGUAGUCCUUUCACUUGUGAAUGAAUUAGCUUCUACUAUUAGUGGUU